RNAcentral lists this ribosomal RNA (490 nucleotides) under uncultured bacterium. RNAcentral's name for it is "partial 16S ribosomal RNA". It matches the Rfam family "Bacterial small subunit ribosomal RNA", at positions 30 to 507 of the family's 1533-position model. The record is from RNAcentral.
AUUGAACGCUGGCGGCAGGCCUAACACAUGCAAGUCGAACGGUAACAGGAAGCAGCUUGCUGCUUUGCUGACGAGUGGCGGACGGGUGAGUAAUGUAUGGGAAACUGCCCGAUGGAGGGGGAUAACUACUGGAAACGGUAGCUAAUACCGCAUAACGUCGCAAGCCCAAAGAGGGGGACCUUAGGGCCUCUUGCCAUCGGAUGUGCCCAGAUGGGAUUAGCUAGUAGGUGGGGUAACGGCUCACCUAGGCGACGAUCCCUAGCUGGUCUGAGAGGAUGACCAGCCACACUGGAACUGAGACACGGUCCAGACUCCUACGGGAGGCAGCAGUGGGGAAUAUUGCACAAUGGGCGCAAGCCUGAUGCAGCCAUGCCGCGUGUAUGAAGAAGGCCUUCGGGUUGUAAAGUACUUUCAGCGGGGAGGAAGGGAGUAAAGUUAAUACCUUUGCUCAUUGACGUUACCCGCAGAAGAAGCACCGGCUAACUCCGUG